GGUGGUGAAAAGAAGAGCUGCUCAGGAAGCAGCAAGUGCAUCAACCUCUGAGCAAACGAAUGCUAAACGUACAGAGAAAGAGGAUGAAAACUAUGAAUGCUCAAGUCAAUUGUAUUCACUGCAUGUUAUUGUGCAGUGUGCCGUUACUGGUGUUAAAUAUUGUUAGAUUGUGUUUCAUAAAAAGUAACAUCAUAUGAGACAGUUCUGACAAAGUAAAUUAAAGUUUUAUUAAUUGAACUUUAGAAACCAACCCAGUAUCAGCACUAAAAUAAUUAUGAGGUAGUUCUAAACAAAAAGGAUUUAAUGAAUAGAAUGAUCAGCUCAGCCAUGUUGGUUAUCUUCGCUAAAAAGUCUAAUGGGGCACUGGGACUUGUGUUACCACGUAAACAAGUAUAACUGCUUCUUGCAUUCUAUGUUUUAGAGCUGAGCGAUCUCUACUGGAAAUGGUAACAAGGAGACAUAUGCAAGUGUAGACAUACUGACAAAGUCGCGGUGAAGCAUGCAGACACGAUGUUCUAUCCAGCAUCUGACCUGUGGCCUUAACAUUUAUUUGACUGACACUCUGUGUCAUUAGAAUGAUUAGCAUUGGUGGAAUAUCACCCUCAAGUAAGAGCUGCAUUCAUGACAGGACUGAGUACCGUAUCGGCCUGCAAUUCUGACCUCAAAAUGGGUGAAGCUAUACAGUAAGAUUGCUUCUCCCUUGCAAAUUCACUUUGAGGAAAGUUGAGCUCACAGUUUCCAAGGAGGAAGUGGAAGAGAGGCAGGGGUACAUAACUGUUAGAAAAGCUUUAAGCACUUUAAUGUGAGAAGAACUUUUAUGUGAAUAAGACACACAACUGGCAUACAAAUACAGUUUAUUCAUGGAUAUAUCAAUUCCAAAAAAGUUGCUUGUACUUUAAAUGAUUUUAUUUUUUUAAAUGUCUGUUUAUGGUGUAAACAUGUUGGUAUAUACAUUUAAUAGAAAAUGAAUCCAUGUAUUUGCAUGUGGUGAUUUCAUUUAUUUGUAUUUGUUGUUGUAUCCAUAUUUUUUUAAUAACAUGGUGCUUCUUUUCCACCCCAUCAACAUAGGUUUGACUGCUUAGUGUUGCAGUAAUUAUAAAAAAUAAAAGGAGAAAGUAAUUUGGAACAUAACAGUAUCAAGAGAAAGAACUAAACGCACAUAGAGUUACCAGUUAGGCUGGUAACAGUAGUGCUUUGGGGUCCUUCAAAAGUCAACUGGUUGCAAAUUUAGGUAAAUAGAGAUUGUUGGGCUAAUGGCUUGUUCUUGUCAAAACUGUUGUAAUGAUGAAAUAAUAAAAAUAACUUUUUGUAUGCCG
Erpetoichthys calabaricus (reedfish) is the source of this 1316-nucleotide long non-coding RNA. RefSeq lists it as uncharacterized. The transcript is spliced from 2 exons. Lineage: Eukaryota; Metazoa; Chordata; Cladistia; Polypteriformes; Polypteridae. The record is from RefSeq and is a predicted model, not a curated record.